Molecule: ribosomal RNA, 440 nt
Filed under: Vairimorpha ceranae
Lineage: Eukaryota; Fungi; Microsporidia; Nosematidae
Description: SSU rRNA
Rfam family: Microsporidia small subunit ribosomal RNA
Source: RNAcentral
CUAUUCCCUAAGAUUAACCCAUGCAUGUUUUUGACAUUUGAAAAAUGGACUGCUCAGUAAUACUCACUUUAUUUUAUGUAAAUUUUUAAUUAACUACGUUAAAGUGUAGAUAAGAUGUUUACAGUAAGAGUGAGACCUAUCAGCUAGUUGUUAAGGUAAUGGCUUAACAAGGCUGUGACGGGUAACGGUAUUACUUUGUAAUAUUCCGGAGAAGGAGCCUGAGAGACGGCUACUAAGUCUAAGGAUUGCAGCAGGGGCGAAACUUGACCUAUGGAUUUUAUCUGAGGCAGUUAUGGGAAGUAAUAUUAUAUUGUUUCAUAUUUUAAAAGUAUAUGAGGUGAUUAAUUGGAGGGCAAAUCAAGUGCCAGCAGCCGCGGUAAUACUUGUUCCAAGAGUGUGUAUGAUGAUUGAUGCAGUUAAAAAGUCCGUAGUUUAUUUUU